This 343-nucleotide long non-coding RNA is filed under the name Elaeis guineensis (African oil palm). Its description in RNAcentral is "long non-coding RNA (EGUI_LNC047950)". The record is from RNAcentral. Lineage: Eukaryota; Viridiplantae; Streptophyta; Magnoliopsida; Arecales; Arecaceae.
AUCUGGCUGACAUGGUACUCUAUCAAAUCUCCUCAAAGGUGCCUCUGCAAUGGGCUUUAGGUUUGAUCUAAUCAAAUCUAGUUUUAUAGAUUCAUUUAUUUAUGUCAGUUCUUCUACCUAUUGAACUUCAUCAAAUUUAAUCUUACAGACAUUAGUUCCUUCCCCAAGAAACUUUUUUUCUAAAAAGAUAGCCCUAUGGUUGACCAACAUUUUUUGUUCUUUAGCAAGGAAGAAGUAAUACCCCUUAGUUUCUUUUGGAUACUCAAUAAAAAGAUAUUUAUUAGAUCGAGAUCUAAUUUUAUCUAUUUUUAAAUAUUUAACAUAAAUCGGAUACCUCCAAAUC